CGGGUGAGUAACGCGUAUCCAACCUUCCCAUAACUACGGGAUAACCCGUUGAAAGACGGCCUAAUACCGUAUGACAUCGUUUGCUGACAUCAAAUAACGAUUAAAGGUUUAGCGGUUAUGGAUGGGGAUGCGUCUGAUUAGCUUGUUGGCGGGGUAACGGCCCACCAAGGCGACGAUCAGUAGGGGUUCUGAGAGGAAGGUCCCCCACAUUGGAACUGAGACACGGUCCAAACUCCUACGGGAGGCAGCAGUGAGGAAUAUUGGUCAAUGGGCGAGAGCCUGAACCAGCCAAGUAGCGUGCAGGAUGACGGCCCUAUGGAUUGUAAACUGCUUUUAUGUGGGGAUAAAGUGCGUGACGUGUCAUGCAUUGCAGGUACCACAUGAAUAAGGACCGGCUAAUUCCGUGCCAGCAGCCGCGGUAAUACGGAAGGUCCGGGCGUUAUCCGGAUUUAUUGGGUUUAAAGGGAGCGUAGGCUGUCUAUUAAGCGUGUUGUGAAAUUUACC
RNAcentral lists this ribosomal RNA (504 nucleotides) under uncultured bacterium. Its description in RNAcentral is "bacterial SSU rRNA". It matches the Rfam family "Bacterial small subunit ribosomal RNA", at positions 103 to 605 of the family's 1533-position model. The record is from RNAcentral.